CCAGCAGCCGCGGUAAUACGUAGGUGGCAAGCGUUGUCCGGAUUUACUGGGCGUAAAGCGUGCGCAGGCGGACGGGUAAGUAGGAAGUGAAAGGUUGGAGCUCAACUCCAACACUGCUCCCUAUACUGCCUGUCUUGAAUGUCGGAGAGGAAGAGGGAACGACACGUGUAGCGGUGAAAUGCGUUGAGAUGUGUCGGAACACCAAUGGCGAAAGCACUCUUCUGGACGAAUAUUGACGCUCAUGCACGAAAGCUAAGGUAGCAAACAGGAUUAGAUACCCUGGUAGUCUUAGCCAUAAACGAUGUUCACUAGGUGUUGGGGCGUAAGCCUCGGUGCCGCAGCUAACGCAUUAAGUGAACCGCCUGGGGACUACGGCCGCAAGGUUGAAACUCAAAGGAAUUGGCGGGGGCCCGCACAAGCGGUGGAGCAUGUGGCUUAAUUCGAUGCAACGCGAAGAACCUUACCAGGGCUUGACAUGGAUCUGCAAGGUGGUGAAAGCCACUCGCUUUCGAAGGUGAUUCACAGGUGGUGCAUGGCUGUCGUCAGCUCGUGUUGUGAAAUGUUGGGUUAAGUCCCGCAACGAGCGCAACCCUCAUGUUCUGUUGCCAGCGAGUAAUGUCGGGAACUCGGAACAAACUGCCUCUGUAAAGAGGAGGAAGGUGGGGAUGACGUCAAGUCAUCAUGCCCCUUACGCCCUGGCUGCACACAUGCUACAAUGGCCGGUACAAAGGGUCGCUAACUCGCGAGAGUAUGCUAAUCCCAAAAAGCCGGUCUCAGUUCGGAUUGGAGUCUGCAACUCGACUCCAUGAAGUCGGAAUCGCUAGUAAACGCCGGUCAGCAAUACGGCGUUGAAUACGUUCCCGGGCCUUGCACACACCGCCCGUCACGUGACGAAAGUUGGUCUUACCCGAAACCGGCGCGCUAACCGCAAGGAAGCAACCGUCUAAGGUAGGGCCGAUGAUUGGCGCGAAGUCGUAACAAGGUAACCAA
RNAcentral lists this ribosomal RNA (990 nucleotides) under uncultured candidate division WYO bacterium. RNAcentral's name for it is "bacterial SSU rRNA". It matches the Rfam family "Bacterial small subunit ribosomal RNA", at positions 508 to 1503 of the family's 1533-position model. The record is from RNAcentral.